This 424-nucleotide ribosomal RNA is filed under the name uncultured prokaryote. Its description in RNAcentral is "bacterial SSU rRNA". It matches the Rfam family "Bacterial small subunit ribosomal RNA", at positions 355 to 796 of the family's 1533-position model. The record is from RNAcentral.
UGGGGAAUCUUGGACAAUGGGCGAAAGCCUGAUCCAGCCAUGCCGCGUGAAUGAUGAAGGCCUUAGGGUUGUAAAAUUCUUUCAGCAGGGAAGAUAAUGACGGUACCUGCAAAAGAAGCCCCGGCUAACUCCGUGCCAGCAGCCGCGGUAAUACGGAGGGGGCUAGCGUUGUUCGGAAUUACUGGGCGUAAAGCGCGCGUAGGCGGAUCGGUAAGUUAGAGGUGAAAGCCCGGAGCUCAACUCCGGAACUGCCUUUGAUACUGCCGGUCUAGAGUUCAGGAGAGGUGAGCGGAAUUCCGAGUGUAGAGGUGAAAUUCGUAGAUAUUCGGAGGAACACCAGAGGCGAAGGCGGCUCACUGGACUGAUACUGACGCUGAGGUGCGAAAGCGUGGGGAGCAAACAGGAUUAGAUACCCCCGUAGUCC